AAAAUGGUUUACUUUAACUACUAAUUCUCAAAAAUGACUUUUUAAAAAACUGCAUUCAAUUACAGUAGCAUUCUAGUUACCUUGAAAUAUCCCCCCAGUACCAUUCUGCAUCCUGAAGAGAAACAGAACUGUCCUUCAUUCCAUUUGGAACUGCUGAAGUCAUUGGCUUAGGUGGCUUUGGUGGAAGAGCUAGAAGAGAAAUGAAUAUUACUCUGUAGAUGUAAAUUAUUUACUGUUUUCUAAUUUCCUCAGGAGCAGCU
This 260-nucleotide long non-coding RNA is filed under the name Homo sapiens (human). RNAcentral's name for it is "HSALNT0006247". Lineage: Eukaryota; Metazoa; Chordata; Mammalia; Primates; Hominidae. The record is from RNAcentral.